CCCUUAGAUGUUCUGGGCCGCACGCGUGCUACAAUGAUGAAUUCAACGAGUUUAUAACCUUGGUUGAAAAGCCUGGGUAAUCUUUUGAACUUUCGUCGUGAUGGGGCUAGACCCUUGCAAUUAUUGGUCUCCAACGAGGAAUUCCUAGUAAACGCAAGUCAUCAGCUUGCAUUGAUUACGUCCCUGCCCUUUGUACACACCGCCCGUCGCACCUACCGAUUGAAUGGUCCGGUGAAAUCUUCGGAUUGAGACUUUGAUUUCUUCACGGAAAACGCUGUUUUAAAAAGUUGAUUAAACCUUACCAUUUAGAGGAAGGUGAAGUCGUAACA
This 329-nucleotide ribosomal RNA is filed under the name uncultured eukaryote. Its description in RNAcentral is "partial 18S ribosomal RNA". It matches the Rfam family "Eukaryotic small subunit ribosomal RNA", at positions 1470 to 1796 of the family's 1831-position model. The record is from RNAcentral.